GCCAGAGUGGCGGAAUUGGCAGACGCGCUGGAUUCAAAAUCCAGUGACCGCAAGGUCGUCCCGGUUCAAGUCCGGGCUCUGGUA
RNAcentral lists this transfer RNA (84 nucleotides) under Pirellulaceae bacterium. Its description in RNAcentral is "tRNA-Leu". It matches the Rfam family "tRNA". Rfam says of the family: Transfer RNA (tRNA) molecules are approximately 80 nucleotides in length. The record is from RNAcentral. Lineage: Bacteria; Pseudomonadati; Planctomycetota; Planctomycetia; Pirellulales; Pirellulaceae.